GAUGAACGCUGGCGGCGUGCUUAACACAUGCAAGUCGAGCGAGUGAGUUCUUCGGAACGAUCUAGCGGCGGACGGGUGAGUAACACGUGGGCAACCUGCCUCAUAGAGGGGAAUAGCCUCCCGAAAGGGAGAUUAAUACCGCAUAAAAUUAUCGAGUGGCAUCACACGGUAAUCAAAGGAGCAAUCCGCUAUGAGAUGGGCCCGCGGCGCAUUAGCUAGUUGGUGAGGUAACGGCUCACCAAGGCGACGAUGCGUAGCCGACCUGAGAGGGUGGUCGGACACAUUGGGACUGAGACACGGCCCAGACUCCUACGGGAGGCAGCAGUGGGGAAUAUUGCACAAUGGGGGAAACCCUGAUGCAGCAACGCCGCGUGAGUGAUGAAGGUCUUCGGAUUGUAAAGCUCUGUCUUUGGGGACGAUAAUGACGGUACCCAAGGAGGAAGCCACGGCUAACUACGUGCCAGCAGCCGCGGUAA
RNAcentral lists this ribosomal RNA (476 nucleotides) under uncultured bacterium. RNAcentral's name for it is "partial 16S ribosomal RNA". It matches the Rfam family "Bacterial small subunit ribosomal RNA", at positions 28 to 523 of the family's 1533-position model. The record is from RNAcentral.